AACGAACGCUGGCGGCAUGCCUAACACAUGCCAGUCGAACGAUGCUUUCGGGCAUAGUGGCGCACGGGUGCGUAACGCGUGGGAAUCUGCCCUUGGGUUCGGAAUAACAGUGAGAAAUUGCUGCUAAUACCGGAUGAUGUCUUCGGACCAAAGAUUUAUCGCCCAGGGAUGAGCCCGCGUAGGAUUAGCUAGUUGGUGGGGUAAUGGCCUACCAAGGCGACGAUCCUUAGCUGGUCUGAGAGGAUGAUCAGCCACACUGGGACUGAGACACGGCCCAGACUCCUACGGGAGGCAGCAGUGGGGAAUAUUGGACAAUGGGCGCAAGCCUGAUCCAGCAAUGCCGCGUGAGUGAUGAAGGCCUUAGGGUUGUAAAGCUCUUUUACCCGGGAUGAUAAUGACAGUACCGGGAGAAUAAGCGCCGGCUAACUCCGUG
RNAcentral lists this ribosomal RNA (433 nucleotides) under uncultured bacterium. RNAcentral's name for it is "partial 16S ribosomal RNA". It matches the Rfam family "Bacterial small subunit ribosomal RNA", at positions 29 to 507 of the family's 1533-position model. The record is from RNAcentral.